GCCUUCGUGGUGUAACUGUAGCGUACUCGGUUUAUAUUCGAGUUGCCCACGUUCGAGUUUCGGCGAGGGCA
Molecule: transfer RNA, 71 nt
Filed under: Stegodyphus mimosarum
Lineage: Eukaryota; Metazoa; Arthropoda; Arachnida; Araneae; Eresidae
Rfam family: tRNA
About the family: Transfer RNA (tRNA) molecules are approximately 80 nucleotides in length. Their secondary structure includes four short double-helical elements and three loops (D, anti-codon, and T loops). Further hydrogen bonds mediate the characteristic L-shaped molecular structure. tRNAs have two regions of fundamental functional importance: the anti-codon, which is responsible for specific mRNA codon recognition, and the 3' end, to which the tRNAs corresponding amino acid is attached (by aminoacyl-tRNA synthetases). tRNAs cope with the degeneracy of the genetic code in two manners: having more than one tRNA (with a specific anti-codon) for a particular amino acid; and 'wobble' base-pairing, i.e. permitting non-standard base-pairing at the 3rd anti-codon position.
Source: Rfam by way of RNAcentral